RNAcentral lists this long non-coding RNA (291 nucleotides) under Musa acuminata (dwarf banana). RNAcentral describes it as "long non-coding RNA (MACU_LNC011191)". Lineage: Eukaryota; Viridiplantae; Streptophyta; Magnoliopsida; Zingiberales; Musaceae. The record is from RNAcentral.
GGUGAGCUCCGCGAACUUCCAACGAACCUUCCGGCGAGCUUCCGAAAAACCCUUCGGUAAGCUCCAUACUCAUUCUCGGCUAGUUCCGGCAGCAUUCCCGACGAACCUUCGGACUUCCGUCGAACUCUCGAACUCCCAAUGAAUCCUUCGCGCUUGACUCCGCACUUUGUUUCGCUUUAUGUCUUUCUCAUUAUCAUAGUUAUUCCUGCACACACAAACUAAAACUCUACUCCGAUCUAGACAAUUAUUACAACGCGAAUCGACAUUCCGUUGCCCGGCACGUCAUUGGUU